RNAcentral lists this ribosomal RNA (496 nucleotides) under uncultured bacterium. Its description in RNAcentral is "partial 16S ribosomal RNA". It matches the Rfam family "Bacterial small subunit ribosomal RNA", at positions 28 to 507 of the family's 1533-position model. The record is from RNAcentral.
GAUGAACGCUGGCGGCGUGCCUAAUACAUGCAAGUCGAGCGAACAGACGAGGAGCUUGCUCCUCUGACGUUAGCGGCGGACGGGUGAGUAACACGUGGAUAACCUACCUAUAAGACUGGGAUAACUUCGGGAAACCGGAGCUAAUACCGGAUAAUAUAUUGAACCGCAUGGUUCAAUAGUGAAAGACGGUUUUGCUGUCACUUAUAGAUGGAUCCGCGCCGCAUUAGCUAGUUGGUAAGGUAACGGCUUACCAAGGCAACGAUGCGUAGCCGACCUGAGAGGGUGAUCGGCCACACUGGAACUGAGACACGGUCCAGACUCCUACGGGAGGCAGCAGUAGGGAAUCUUCCGCAAUGGGCGAAAGCUUGACGGAGCAACGCCGCGGGAGUGAUGAAGGUCUUCGGAUCGUAAAACUCUGUAUUAGGGAAGAACAAAUGUGUAAGUAACUAUGCACGUCUUGACGGUACCUAAUCAGAAAGCCACGGCUAACUACGUG